This 79-nucleotide transfer RNA is filed under the name Enhydrobacter aerosaccus SK60. RNAcentral's name for it is "tRNA-Pro". It matches the Rfam family "tRNA". Rfam says of the family: Transfer RNA (tRNA) molecules are approximately 80 nucleotides in length. The record is from RNAcentral. Lineage: Bacteria; Pseudomonadati; Pseudomonadota; Alphaproteobacteria; Hyphomicrobiales.
UCGGAGUGUAGCACAGCUUGGUAGUGCACCUGGUUUGGGACCAGGGGGUCGAAGGUUCGAAUCCUUUCACUCCGACCAU